UACGUAGGGGGCUAGCGUUGUCCGGAUUUAUUGGGCGUAAAGAGCGUGUAGGCGGCCAGGUAGGUCUGCUGUGAAAACUCGAGGCUCAACCUCGAGACGUCGGCGGAAACCAUCUGGCUAGAGUCCGGAAGAGGAGAGUGGAAUUCCUGGUGUAGCGGUGAAAUGCGCAGAUAUCAGGAGGAACACCGAUUGCGAAGGCAGCUCGCUGGGACGUAACUGACGCUGAGACGCGAAAGCGUGGGGAGCGAACAGG
RNAcentral lists this ribosomal RNA (253 nucleotides) under uncultured bacterium. RNAcentral's name for it is "partial 16S ribosomal RNA". It matches the Rfam family "Bacterial small subunit ribosomal RNA", at positions 524 to 776 of the family's 1533-position model. The record is from RNAcentral.